UCCUCAAUUUUACCAAAAAUAACUUGACUUAAAAUUAGAAUAUAUUCCACUUACCAUCACCACCCGAUUCCAAUAUUUUCAUAAUUCUUGGAUCCAAUUGUAGUUUUAAUUUCCUAAUUUUAAGUUCCAUUUCUUUAGAAUUUUUCUCGAUUCGGUGAUAGAAAGCAAUUGAUUCUGCUGCUUCCUAAAAUAAUGUUUAUGUUUUUAUAUAAACAAAGAU
This 220-nucleotide unclassified non-coding RNA is filed under the name Melitaea cinxia (Glanville fritillary). Its description in RNAcentral is "misc RNA ENSMCXG00005009539.1". The record is from RNAcentral. Lineage: Eukaryota; Metazoa; Arthropoda; Insecta; Lepidoptera; Nymphalidae.